GUCCACGCCUUAAACGAUGAGAGCUAGUUGUCAGUAAGCAUGCUUAUUGGUGACGCAGCUAACGCAUUAAGCUCUCCGCCUGGGGAGUACGGCCGCAAGGUUAAAACUCAAAGGAAUAGACGGGGACUCGCACAAGCGGUGGAACAUGAGGUUUAAUUCGACAGUAAACGAGGAACCUUACCAGGGCUUGAAAUUCUUCCGGAAAGCUGCCGGAAACGGUGGCCUUCUCUCAAGGACCGGAAGUACAGGUGCUGCAUGGUUGUCGU
Molecule: ribosomal RNA, 266 nt
Filed under: uncultured bacterium
Lineage: Bacteria
Description: partial 16S ribosomal RNA
Rfam family: Bacterial small subunit ribosomal RNA
Source: RNAcentral